ACCAUUCUCCUCCACCACCAUCGCCGACAUACGUAUACAAGUCACCACCUCCUCCAUCACCCAAAUACGUGUACAAAUCACCACCUCCUCCAUCACCUAAAUACGUGUACAAGUCGCCACCCCCUCCAUCACCUGAAUAUGUGUACAAGUCCCCACCCCCUCCAACCCCAACUUACGUGUACAAGUCACCACCACCUCCAUCACCUGAAUACGUAUACAAGUCCCCACCACCUCCAUCACCGAAGUACGUGUAUAAAUCCCCCCCACCGCCACCAUACUACUACAAGUCCCCCCCACCUCCAUCACCUGAGUACGUAUACAAGUCUCCCCCACCUCCAUCCCCAAAGUACGUGUACAAGUCCCCGCCCCCUCCAUCACCUGAAUACGGGGACAAGUCCCCACCACCUCCCUCACCCGAAUACGUGUACAAGCCCCCACCCCCUCCAUCACCUGAAUACGGGGACAAGUCCCCACCACCUCCCUCACCCGAAUACGUGUACAAGCCCCCACCCCCUCCAUCACCUGAAUACGGGGACAAGUCCCCACCACCUCCCUCACCCGAAUACGUGUACAAGCCCCCACCCCCUCCAUCACCUGAAUACGGGGACAAGUCCCCACCACCUCCCUCACCCGAAUACGUGUACAAGCCCCCACCCCCUCCAUCACCUGAAUACGGGGACAAGUCCCCACCACCUCCCUCACCCGAAUACGUGUACAAGCCCCCACCCCCUCCAUCACCUGAAUACGGGGACAAGUCCCCACCACCUCCCUCACCCGAAUACGUGUACAAGCCCCCACCCCCUCCAUCACCUGAAUACGGGGACAAGUCCCCACCACCUCCCUCACCCGAAUACGUGUACAAGCCCCCACCCCCUCCAUCACCUGAAUACGGGGACAAGUCCCCACCACCUCCCUCACCCGAAUACGUGUACAAGCCCCCACCCCCUCCAUCACCUGAAUACGGGGACAAGUCCCCACCACCUCCCUCACCCGAAUACGUGUACAAGCCCCCACCCCCUCCAUCACCUGAAUACGGGGACAAGUCCCCACCACCUCCCUCACCCGAAUACGUGUACAAGCCCCCACCCCCUCCAUCACCUGAAUACGGGGACAAGUCCCCACCACCUCCCUCACCCGAAUACGUGUACAAGCCCCCACCCCCUCCAUCACCUGAAUACGGGGACAAGUCCCCACCACCUCCCUCACCCGAAUACGUGUACAAGCCCCCACCCCCUCCAUCACCUGAAUACGGGGACAAGUCCCCACCACCUCCCUCACCCGAAUACGUGUACAAGCCCCCACCCCCUCCAUCACCUGAAUACGUAUACAAGUCUCCACCACCUCCAUCACCGAAGUACGUGUAUAAAUCCCCACCACCGCCACCAUACUACUACAAUUCUC
Molecule: long non-coding RNA, 1401 nt
Filed under: Capsicum annuum
Lineage: Eukaryota; Viridiplantae; Streptophyta; Magnoliopsida; Solanales; Solanaceae
Description: long non-coding RNA (CANN_LNC005796)
Source: RNAcentral